GGGCUUGUACUGGUUUCGACGGGGGUUCAGAAGUUUGGGAAGCCAUCCGCAGACCGUGGCUGCGUCAUCAAAACGGAAACCUAAAUAUAAACGCAGACGAACAGUUAGCGUACGCUGCUUAAUUGCAGCUGUCGGACUCAGACCGCUCACAGCCUGAGACCCCGGCAUCGAGAAUGUGAGGAACUUCGUCUCCUAAGCUUUGCGGAGAUGGAAGAACUGAUGAAGCUACCGGACAUGUAAGCCUGUCACCGGGCGUAUGUGCGAGGGAAUGAAAAAACAGUGACUGUGAUGGGAGAAACCUGAAUGGAAGGGCUUUCGGACAGGGGUUCGAUUCCCCUCAGGUCCAUC
Molecule: small RNA, 348 nt
Filed under: Candidatus Paralachnospira caecorum
Lineage: Bacteria; Bacillati; Bacillota; Clostridia
Description: transfer-messenger RNA
Rfam family: transfer-messenger RNA
About the family: Bacterial tmRNA, also known as 10Sa RNA or SsrA, is named for its dual tRNA and mRNA-like properties. Its role is to liberate the mRNA from a stalled ribosome.
Source: RNAcentral